RNAcentral lists this ribosomal RNA (460 nucleotides) under uncultured bacterium. RNAcentral describes it as "partial 16S ribosomal RNA". It matches the Rfam family "Bacterial small subunit ribosomal RNA", at positions 338 to 795 of the family's 1533-position model. The record is from RNAcentral.
CCUACGGGUGGUAGCAGUGAGGAAUAUUGGUCAAUGGGCGCGAGCCUGAACCAGCCAAGUAGCGUGAAGGAUGACUGCCCUACGGGUUGUAAACUUCUUUUAUAAGGGAAUAAAGUGAGGCACGUGUGCCUUUUUGUAUGUACUGUAUGAAUAAGGAUCGGCUAACUCCGUGCCAGCAGCCGCGGUAAUACGGAGGAUCCGAGCGUUAUCCGGAUUUAUUGGGUUUAAAGGGAGCGUAGAUGGGUUGUUAAGCCAGUUGUGAAAGUUUGCGGCUCAACCGUAGAAUUGCAAUUGAUACUGGCGGGCUUGAGUACACUGGAGGUAGGCGGAAUUCGUGGUGUAGCGGUGAAAUGCUUAGAUAUGACGAAGAACCCCGAUUGCGAAGGCAGCUUACUAAACUGCCACUGACAUUGAUGCUCGAAAGUGUGGGUAUCAAACAGGAUUAGAUACCCGGGUAGUC